UGAAUGCAAUGAUGACUGCAUAGUUCAGCAGAUAAACAUGAAGAAGAAAGUGUCUUUCGCUCCUAUCUGAUGCAUCAG
This is a small nucleolar RNA of Salarias fasciatus (jewelled blenny), 78 nucleotides long. The record is from Ensembl. NCBI's taxonomy places the organism in Eukaryota, Metazoa, Chordata, Actinopteri, Blenniiformes, Blenniidae.